RNAcentral lists this long non-coding RNA (468 nucleotides) under Manacus vitellinus (golden-collared manakin). RNAcentral's name for it is "lncRNA (ENSMVIG00005006123.1)". Lineage: Eukaryota; Metazoa; Chordata; Aves; Passeriformes; Pipridae. The record is from RNAcentral.
CUUUCCCGCCCUUUUUGUGCCCUCACAUUUUCCACCAUUUUUUCCCACCAUUUUUCAAUCACCUUUCCCACUAUUUUCCCCUCACAUUUCUCACCCAUUUCCCCUCACAUUUCCCUCCAUUUCCCCUCACAUUUCUCACCCAUUUCCCCUCACAUUUCCCUCCAUUUCCCCUCACAUUUCCCUCCAUUUCCCCCUCACAUUUCCCUCCCUUUUCCCCUCACAUUUCCCGCCCUUUUCCCCUCACAUUUCCCUCCCUUUUCCCCUCACAUUUCCCUCCCUUUUCCCCUCACAUUUCCCUCCCUUUUCCCCUCACAUUUCCCUCCCUUUUCCCUCCCUUUUCCCCUCACAUUUCCCGCCAUUUUCUCCUCACAUUUCCCCCAAUUUGGGGUCCAAACCCACCCCCUGCCCCCCAGUUUGGGGUCCACUCUCACCACAGCCCUUUGUCCCCACGUCACCGUGUCCCUGUGU